This 74-nucleotide transfer RNA is filed under the name Platemys platycephala. Its description in RNAcentral is "tRNA-Leu". It matches the Rfam family "tRNA". Rfam says of the family: Transfer RNA (tRNA) molecules are approximately 80 nucleotides in length. Their secondary structure includes four short double-helical elements and three loops (D, anti-codon, and T loops). Lineage: Eukaryota; Metazoa; Chordata; Testudines; Chelidae. The record is from RNAcentral.
AUUGCGGUAGCAAAGUGGUACUAAUGCAAAAGGCCUAAACCCUUUAAUCAGGGGUUCGACCCCCCUCCUCAAUA